UACCAGCACCCCGAGUGGUCGGGACGUUUAUUGGGCCUAAAGCAUCCGUAGCCGGUUCUACAAGUCUUCCGUUAAAUCCACCUGCUUAACAGAUGGGCUGCGGAAGAUACUAUAGAGCUAGGAGGCGGGAGGGGCAAGCGGUACUCGAUGGGUAGGGGUAAAAUCCGUUGAUCCAUUGAAGACCACCAGUGGCGAAGGCGGCUUGCCAGAACGCGCUCGACGGUGAGGGAUGAAAGCUGGGGGAGCAAACCGG
This 253-nucleotide ribosomal RNA is filed under the name uncultured bacterium. RNAcentral describes it as "partial 16S ribosomal RNA". It matches the Rfam family "Archaeal small subunit ribosomal RNA", at positions 474 to 727 of the family's 1478-position model. The record is from RNAcentral.